This 279-nucleotide ribosomal RNA is filed under the name uncultured prokaryote. RNAcentral describes it as "partial 16S ribosomal RNA". It matches the Rfam family "Bacterial small subunit ribosomal RNA", at positions 505 to 783 of the family's 1533-position model. The record is from RNAcentral.
GUGCCAGCAGCCGCGGUAAUACGAAGGGGGCUAGCGUUGCUCGGAAUUACUGGGCGUAAAGGGCGCGUAGGCGGCCCUGUUGGUCAGGCGUGAAAUUCCUGGGCUCAACCUGGGGGCUGCGCUUGAUACGGCGGGGCUGGAGGGCGGAAGAGGCUCGCGGAAUUCCCAGUGUAGAGGUGAAAUUCGUAGAUAUUGGGAAGAACACCGGUGGCGAAGGCGGCGAGCUGGUCCGUACCUGACGCUGAGGCGCGACAGCGUGGGGAGCAAACAGGAUUAGAA